RNAcentral lists this ribosomal RNA (274 nucleotides) under uncultured bacterium. Its description in RNAcentral is "partial 16S ribosomal RNA". It matches the Rfam family "Bacterial small subunit ribosomal RNA", at positions 523 to 796 of the family's 1533-position model. The record is from RNAcentral.
CUACAGAGGGUGCAAUCGUUAAUCGGAAUUACUGGGCGUAAAGCGCGCGUAGGCGGUUUAAUCAGUCGGAUGUGAAAGCCCCGGGCUCAACCUGGGAACUGCAUUCGAUACUGUUAAGCUAGAGUAUGGUAGAGGGAAGUGGAAUUCCAGGUGUAGCGGUGAAAUGCGUAGAUAUCUGGAGGAACAUCAGUGGCGAAGGCGACUUCCUGGACCAAUACUGACGCUGAGGUGCGAAAGCGUGGGGAGCAAACAGGAGUAGAAACCCUAGUAGUCC